AACCACAGAAGGAUGCAAGCUUGUUCUGUUUGUCAUUGCCAUGAUUGUAAACUCGAACAGUUUGUUGAGUUGUUUGUGCAUGUUCAGAUGAGUUCUCAAAUAAUUUAGGACUGAGGUUUAAAAUAUACCGUCUUAAUACUUGCAACAUAAAUAAAAUUUAACUUUGUAUUACAUCUACAUUUAAGGCGUAAAGAUGUUUUUUCUUUGUUAUCGUAGUCAGUAGUUAUCAAGUAAUGGACCACUCUCAAAUAAUCACGAAUAUUGGUUGACUUUUGGUUAGGUUUCUUUGGGAGGCCCUUCUCCUUUUGAACUUGCAAGGAGCAGUCAAGCGUCUCACUGUGAUAAACCUACGAAGUAUUCUUUCUCUCAUUUUCUUGUUUAGAAAAGUUAUCAACUAAGUGGUCGAACUCUUCGUAAACUACCAUUCCUUGCACAUGCGCUGUAUUCGAAAGCACAAACGAUAACCUCAGAAGAGUUUUUGAAUAAUCUUUCAAUGAUUGUUGACAAGCAGUUCAAA
Xenia sp. Carnegie-2017 is the source of this 517-nucleotide long non-coding RNA. RefSeq lists it as uncharacterized. The transcript is spliced from 2 exons. Lineage: Eukaryota; Metazoa; Cnidaria; Anthozoa; Malacalcyonacea; Xeniidae. The record is from RefSeq and is a predicted model, not a curated record.